RNAcentral lists this ribosomal RNA (478 nucleotides) under uncultured bacterium. Its description in RNAcentral is "partial 16S ribosomal RNA". It matches the Rfam family "Bacterial small subunit ribosomal RNA", at positions 355 to 823 of the family's 1533-position model. The record is from RNAcentral.
UGGGGAAUAUUGCACAAUGGGCGCAAGCCUGAUGCAGCCAUGCCGCGUGUGUGAAGAAGGCCUUCGGGUUGUAAAGCACUUUCAGCGAGGAGGAAGGCGUUAAGGUUAAUAACCUUAGCGAUUGACGUUACUCGCAGAAGAAGCACCGGCUAACUCCGUGCCAGCAGCCGCGGUAAUACGGAGGGUGCAAGCGUUAAUCGGAAUUACUGGGCGUAAAGCGCACGCAGGCGGUUUGUUAAGUCAGAUGUGAAAUCCCCGAGCUUAACUUGGGAACUGCAUUUGAAACUGGCAAGCUAGAGUCUUGUAGAGGGGGGUAGAAUUCCAGGUGUAGCGGUGAAAUGCGUAGAGAUCUGGAGGAAUACCGGUGGCGAAGGCGGCCCCCUGGACAAAGACUGACGCUCAGGUGCGAAAGCGUGGGGCAGCAAACAGGAUUAGAUACCCUGGUAGUCCAGCGCUGUAAACGAUGUCGACUUUGGAG